RNAcentral lists this unclassified non-coding RNA (504 nucleotides) under Hevea brasiliensis (rubber tree). Lineage: Eukaryota; Viridiplantae; Streptophyta; Magnoliopsida; Malpighiales; Euphorbiaceae. The record is from RNAcentral.
AAAAUAAGUUUUAGUGAAUUCACACUUCAAACAUUACAAAUGAACAAAUCUAUGUAAAAUUCUUAAAAUUCCAAAAGACUGUCCAAGCAAACAUGACAAAGCUACAUUUAUAUCCAUCCUAUAAUAGAUUGUGCAAAAGCUAUCAAAAAUAUUUAUAUAGUAUACAAGCAACGCCAAUAAAAUUCAACAGUCAAUUGAUGGCAUCACCUCCAAGUAAAGAAAGCCAGUGUUCUCCAUCAAUAACUUCAUCAAACAAUCAGUUUAAUUUUUUAGAAAUCCAAACAAACUCAACUUUUAAUUUCUCACAAAACCCAACUCGUCAAAACCUAAUCAAGCAAGCAAUCUGUGAGUCAAGCAAGCAUGCAAAAACCCCUCUUCAUGAAAUUGCUGGUGAUGUUUUAAGAAGGGUGCUGUUGAAGACAGCUUCAACCAAGAUGCACACGUAGAAUCCAUUGUGGCAUUGCAUACAUAAAGUAUAAUUAAAAUGGGCCAGCUAAGGGUCAA